UGGGGAAUUGUUCGCAAUGGGCGCAAGCCUGACGACGCAACGCCGCGUGGAGGAUGAAGAUCUUCGGGUCGUAAACUCCUUUCGAUCGAGACGAAUGGCCCCGGGGUGAAUAAUCCCGGGGAGUGACGGUACCGAGAGAAGAAGCCCCGGCUAACUCCGUGCCAGCAGCCGCGGUAAUACGGGGGGGGCAAGCGUUGUUCGGAAUUACUGGGCGUAAAGGGCUCGUAGGCGGCCAACUAAGUCAGACGUGAAAUCCCUCGGCUUAACCGGGGAACUGCGUCUGAUACUGGAUGGCUUGAAUUCGGGAGAGGGGUGCGGAAUUCCAGGUGUAGCGGUGAAAUGCGUAGAUAUCUGGAGGAACACCGGUGGCGAAGGCGGCAUCCUGGACCGAUAUUGACGCUGAUGAGCGAAAGCCAGGGGAGCAAAC
RNAcentral lists this ribosomal RNA (427 nucleotides) under uncultured bacterium. RNAcentral's name for it is "bacterial SSU rRNA". It matches the Rfam family "Bacterial small subunit ribosomal RNA", at positions 355 to 773 of the family's 1533-position model. The record is from RNAcentral.